UCAGGCUGGAAUAUCCAUCCACAACCCAUUUUCAAUGCCCUGGCUGAGGGAAGGAGGUUCUCAUCCAAGAUUUAACGGUACAUGGUCCCGUCCAUCAUCCCUUUGAUGCGGUGCAGUUGUCCUGUCACCUGGGGAUGGUGUACUUGGGGUCAUAGGCAGCAUUCCUCCUUCUCCAAACACGGCGAGUUGAGUUGAUGCCAAAGAGCUGGAUUUUGGUCUCAUUUGACCACAACACUUUCACCCAGUUCUCCUCUGAAUCAUUCAGAUGUUCACUGGCAAACUUCAGAUGGUCCUGUACAUGUGCUUUCUUUAGCAGGGGGACCUUGCGGGCGCUACUGGACGUACGUCACGGCGUAGUGUGUUACCAGUAGUGUGUUUGGUGACUAUGGUCCCAGCUGCCUUGAGAUCAUUGACAAAAUCCUCCAGUGUAAUUCUGGGCUGAUUCCUCGCUGUUCUCAUGAUCAUUGAAACUCCAUGAGGUGAGAUCUUGCAUGGAGCCCCAGACCGAGGAAGAUUGACAGUCCUUUUGUGUUUCUUCCAUUUGGGAAUAAUCACACCAACUGUUGUCACCUUCUCACCAAGCUGCUUGGAGAUGGUCUUGUAGCUCAGUCCAGCCUUGUAGACCCAGAGCUAUUAUGUUCACAUUCACUGGCAAAAAUCCAAGUUAAACCCCAGUUACCGCUGAUCUCAGUCUCUCUUUCUCAUCUUGCUCUUCCCAUCGGAGUUCACACAGGGCCUCUUAGGUUUUAGCAUCCAGAAGACUCCUAGAAAAUAUAACAGAAAAGAAAAAUGGACUGCAGUGUAAUUUCAGAAUCUUACAUAACUGAGACACAUUUCCGUUUUGAGUAAACUCCACCCAGCACAUGCAGCUUCCACACAGCACAUACAUCUGAGGUAGGACGCAUCAACAGCAUCACAGGGAUGAACAGUGUACUGGUCUUCUGCAGUUCGGCCUUCCACUGGUCCACAGUCCAGUCCUCUUCCACAGCAGCAAGCAUCUGAUAUCGUGCUUCAGCUGUGGACCACUAAGACAGCUAGGCAUUUUUGGAGCUUGCAUGUUGUGAAAUUACAUCCAGCCACUGCUAUGAAAGUACAGUUUUUAUUCAUGAGUUUUCAGAAAUAAAUCCUACAACAGUUGUUCAUUUUAAAAUCAUUUUUAAGACGUCUUGUCCACCGGUGUGUCCACAGCCUCUUUCCUGCCUCUUUCCUACUACAGAAGGCACUGAGUGCAUGAAGUUUCUGACAUUUCACACUUUGGUUUUUUUUUUUUUGGACUCAUUAUUGAUAAUUGACUAGUACAGAUAUUCAGUCAAUCUGGAUGAUUGAAAAUGCAAGUUUUCCCAUUUGAGAUGAUACGAUUCUGACAUUCAUACACUAGACAUUAUUGUACAUAGUGUAAGUGCAUGGUGUGUAGUACAUCAUUUGGGACACAGCUGUAGUCUUUGACAUGGCAUCAAUACUGAAGGUGGAAUGUAACCUCAAGCUGUACUGUAAACAUAAAACCAGAUUAGAAAAUGUAGCAUAUGUGGAAUUUUAAAAAUGCACAAACACCAUAUUGGUUUUAUGAGCAAUUUGGUGGGAAAAACAGGUCAACUGGAAUGAUUGCAUAGUUUUAAAAUCAACUAUGAUUUUCAUAGUUGAUUUCAUAGUUUAUAAAGAAAUCAGUUACAGUUUUCGUUUUUUAAAUUUAUUGCUCGAGGUGGAUGUUUCCAGUUAUGGGCCGCAUUAUCCCUGCAUCACGGCAACCCAGGCAAACAUUUCCUGUGUGCCUACUAUAGGAAAUUAACUGAAGCAGAAACCAAUUACGACAUAUGCAAUCAUAUCCUUCUAUCAACCAAAGACACACUAGAGAAAUGGAGGCUCUGGCUGUAGGGAGCUCAAUGCCCUUUUCAGGUGAUCACUGACCGUAAGAAGGUGGAAUAUAUUUUAAUAAAAUGCAAAACAUCUGAUCACCAGUCAAGCCAGGUGGCCAAUGUUAUUUAUAUAAUAUUAUUCACGUAACAGGAAUUAAAAACUAAACGGAUGAAAUCCAGUAAGCACAAUACACUGAGAGUCCUCCUCCUGAAUUUUCACUCACAAAGAAUUUUGUGCCUACAAGCUUUCGGCAAAGAAACAUCCAGUGGGUGCAGUGGAAGCUUGGUGGACCUGGGAUUUGAACUCACAACCUUCCAAUCAGUAGUCCAGCACCCUUUCAUCAUUAAGCUAGACUUUUGCGAACACCUUGGUGUCAACAUCAGUCUCAGUUUUGGAUAAUACCCACAAUCAAACCCCCAACUACCGUAUCUGUCCCACCUUCCAUGUCUCGCUCUUCAAGCCAGACCACAACCCCCACCACUUCCCCUAGAGAUUGACGAGUCACCUGCCUACAUGGUCCAUGCCAUCCUGGACUCCUGCCAGAAAGGAGGCCGGCUUCAGUACUUAGGUAGGGGUACAAGGGGUAGGGCCUUGAGGAAAGGAACCACCCUGACAAACCUGCCCACAGGGACGCCCAUGAAGAAGAAAGUGAAGGUGAAGGUGUUCCCAGAGGAUGGGGGUCUGUAACAACCUGAACCCCAUUGAAAACCUCUGGAAUGUGAUUAAGAGGAAGAUGGAUGGUCACAAGCCAUCAAACAAAGCUGAGCUGCUAGAAUUUUUGUGCCAGGACUGCACAUAAGUUCAACAAACAUCAGUGUGAAAAAUUUGCGGCGUGCAUGCCAACACUUAAAACAAGAUGGAGACAGUGUAGGCAAACAUGUAUAUGGGAGAGACAUACAAGGACAAAACAAACAACACAGGGACCACCUAGCAUAGUGGCUCCUUUUCUCUGGUGCCGUGAGAGGCUUCACAAACCUGUGAAUCCAGAAUUAUAUGGAUUUGGCUUAGAUGUUUUAUUUAACUUGGCAUUUCUCCCUCCAGCUUUUCAAAGGAGAGGCCCUUACAGGGUCCCAUUGUAAAGGCUCAACCUCCCAUCCGACAAGCUUUAGUCUUCUGGCCUGCUGGCUCUUCUGAAUUCAUUCUCCUUGUCAUUCAACAGCUGCGCUUCCACACACAAGGGAGGAAACCUCCUGGAUUUGGUCUGCACUUGUCCUUCCCCAGCUACAGAUAAGACUACUACCCCACUUCACAUCUCUGAUCAUCACUUGGUGGAAGAUUCUUGUCAUGCUCCUUGGCUGUCAGAUGUGCUUUGCAACAAUCAAAGAGAAAUACGAACAGCAGAGAGGAAGUGGAAGGAACGCAAAUCUCAUCUCUUAUCACAUGCUUCUGUCCCAACUUCUGCCAAGACUUCCUUCUACAAGGAAACAUUUCUGCAAAAGACCCCCGAAAGCUCCCCAACAUCUUCUCUUCACUACUCCACCCUCCAACUCCACCUACUCCAUCCUCCCUGACUGCCAAAGAGUUCACCAAUUGUUACACAGAGAAGAUCUGCCAGACCUUCACUUCUGCCCCAACUUCACCUACAUUACACAGCCAGGACUCCCCUAGUCCUUUAUUGAGGCAUCUCUCAACCAUAGCAACAGAAGAGGUUUUGCAAAUCAUCACCAGUCCUGCAAACCUACCACCUGCCCACUGGAUCCAAUCCCUUCCACUAUGCUCUGGUCCAUCUCGCCUGACCUCCUGCCCUUCAUCAGCACAGUCAUCAAUGGAUCCAUAUCUUCUGGUCAUGUACCAACUGCUUUCAAUAAAGCAAGGGUUAUACCCAUAUUGCAGAAACCUGCUCUGGAUCCCUCAGACAUCAGUAACUACAGACCGGUAUCACCUCUCGUUUCUUUCAAAAAUUCUCGAAUGCAUUGUUUAUAAUCAGCUGUCUAACUAUCUCUUUCAAAACAACCUCCAAGAUCCCAACCAGUCUGUCUUAAAAGUAGCACAUUCCACAGAGACUGCCCUUUUGGUGGUCACUGAGAAACUGCAUGCUGCUAGAUAAGCCAAGCUCUCCUCAUCCUCCUUGACCUUUCUGCAGCAUUUGAUGCAGUAAACCACAAGACUAUCUUGUCCACCCUUAAGAGUCUUGGAAUAUGUGGAGCAGCAUGUGAAUGGUUUGCUCCCUACCUGGAUGGUCGCUCAUAUCAGGUAACAUAGAUGGGAUUGACAUCCUUUCCAUGCAGACUCUCUACUGGUUUCCCACAAGGCUCAGUAUUUUGGUCCUCUCCUUUUCUUCCUUUACACUCGCUCUCUUGGCAAAGUUAUAUUCUCACAUGGGUUUUCAUGCCACUGCUAUGCCAAUGACACCCAACUUAUCUCCUCCUUCCCUCCCUUAGAAACCAUGGUUUGUGCUCAGAUCUUAGUGUGUCUGGUGGACAUUUCAUCUUGGAUGACAGCUCAUCAACUGUAACUUAAUCCCAGCAAAACUGAACUGCUGGUCAUCCCAGGUGAUUCAUCUCCAGCCCAGGACCUUGCAUUAUCUCUGAAUAACUCCCUGAUCUUCCCUUCGGCCACUGCUUGCAACCUUGGGGUAACCAUGGACAAUCAACUGUCCUUUUCCUCCCAUGUUGCUAAUGUGACAUGCUCUUGUGGGUUUCUUCUGCACAACGUUAGAAGGAUUCGACCAUUUCUUUCCACACAGGCUCCUCACGUGCUUGUUCAGUCUCUUGUCAUUUCGAGACUGUACUACUGCAACUCUUUACCGGCAGGUCUAACUCUGAACGCAAUUCAUCCACUGCAAAUGAUCCAAAAUGCAGCUGCAUAGCUUGUUUUCAACCGGCUUAAGUUCUCCCACACCACCCCACUGCUGUGUUCUCUUCACUGGCUUCUGAUAGCUGCACGCAUCAGAUUCAAAACACUGAUGCUUGCCUACAAAGCCAAGAAUGGACCAGCACCAUCUUACCUCAAAGAUCUUAUUACUCCUCGCAUUGCACCUCACUCCCUCAGAUCCACUAGCACUGCCCGACUGGUCCCACCAUCUCUCAGGGUAAAAGGUAGGUUUACAUCUAGACUCUUCUCUAUUUUGGCACCAAGGUGGUGGAAUGAACUUCCCCUAGAUGUUUGGUACAGCCGAGUCACUGACUGUCUUCAAAUGAUGACUGAAGACCUACCUCUUCCGGAAACACUAGCACUUGGCACGAUGACAAGAUGGCACCGGUGAGGUCGGCUGCCAUCACGACUGCUCUGACCCCUGUUUCUUUGUUUUUGUUUUUUAAGUUAACCUACAGUACUUUUAAACCGACAAAUUCUUCUAAAUGGAGUGCAUUAGGUACAAUAGAGAUAAACUUAUUUCUAUUGAUAUAUAAUGUACUCACAAUUCGACGUUUUUAACCCUGGAUCCAAGCUGGCUGAGUGAGAUCUUGAAGGAGAAUGAAGGACGCGACCCGAAGCAGCAACCCUGGGGGAAACAAGCCAGCGUCAGGAAUAGGCUGAGAGCCUGUGCACACCACACACCUCUGCCUAGCAUCCUGCUCGCCAACGUCCAGUCACUGCAGAACAAGCUCGAUGACCUCAGGGCCAGGGUAAAGUGCCAGAGAGACAUUCGGGACUGCAAUCCAAUGAAUGGAGUUCAUUCCAUAAGUUCAUUCCACCACCUCUGUGCAAGAACAGAGAAGAGUGUAGAUAUAUACGUACCUUUUACCCAUAGAGAUCGUGGAGCUAGUUCAGCAGUGCUAGUGGAUCUGAGUGAGCGAAGUGCAGUGUGAAA
Long non-coding RNA from Hemibagrus wyckioides, 5605 nucleotides. RefSeq lists it as uncharacterized. The transcript has 3 exons. The record is from RefSeq and is a predicted model, not a curated record. Lineage: Eukaryota; Metazoa; Chordata; Actinopteri; Siluriformes; Bagridae.